RNAcentral lists this ribosomal RNA (407 nucleotides) under uncultured bacterium. Its description in RNAcentral is "bacterial SSU rRNA". It matches the Rfam family "Bacterial small subunit ribosomal RNA", at positions 355 to 776 of the family's 1533-position model. The record is from RNAcentral.
UGGGGAAUAUUGGGCAAUGGGCGCAAGCCUGACCCAGCAACGCCGCGUGAAGGAAGAAGGCCCUCGGGUUGUAAACUUCUUUUAUCAGGGACGAAACAAAUGACGGUACCUGAUGAAUAAGCCCCGGCUAACUACGUGCCAGCAGCCGCGGUAAUACGUAGGUGGCAAGCGUUAUCCGGAUUUACUGGGUGUAAAGGGCGUGUAGGCGGGUCUGCAAGUCAGAUGUGAAAUUUCAGGGCUCAACCCUGAACCUGCAUUUGAAACUGUAGAUCUUGAGUGAUGGAGAGGCAGGCGGAAUUCCGUGUGUAGCGGUGAAAUGCGUAGAUAUACGGAGGAACACCAGUGGCGAAGGCGGCCUGCUGGACAUUAACUGACGCUGAGGCGCGAAAGCGUGGGGAGCAAACAGG